CGCGCUGCAGCAGCUGCUGGAUGAGCAUGACGCGGUGAGCGCCGCCUUCCAGGCGGGCGUCCUGUCGCCCACCAUCUCCCCCAACUACUCCAACGACAUGAACUCCAUGGCCGGCUCGCCGGUCUCAUCCUACUCGUCGGACGAGGGCUCUUACGACCCGCUCAGCCCAGAGGAACAAGAACUGCUCGACUUCCCCAACUGGUUCUGAGGGGCUCGGCCUGGUCAGGCCCUGGUGCGAAUGGACUUUGGAAGCGGGGCCAUCGCACAACCUGCAUCUUUAGUGCUUUCUCGUCAGCGAUGUUGGGAGAAAAGCAGGAAAAAGAAGAGAAGAAAGCAAACAAAUUCCAGGCAACCAACCUCUAUGCCAACUAAGCGUCACAUGCGAAGCAAGGCUCUGGCAAAACAAGGAUGCGCUCAGAACAGUAUCUCUGCACUCCAACCAUUCACGGAGAUAGAAAGAGUGACUAGGGCCUGAGUCAAUGCACAAAACGCCACUUGUGUGCAAAACUAGUGGGCUCCUGGCAGAAAGGAGCAGCACACGCCCUCUAGAAACUCCCACCCACCACUAACAGGCAGAGCUGACCUUCCUGCCCUCCCUGAAAGCGCAGUUCAUAGCCCUCUAGAAAUGGGUUGGUGUCUUUCGUCUCUGUUUGCCCCCACCCUGAUAAGCUUUGGACACUUUUCUUCAGUGAAAUUGUGCUAUACUCAGUCCUUUAAAGCCCCAAUUUGUGGGGGGGAUCCCCAAGCUCCACUCCCUCACACCACCUUUUCUACCAUUUUCAUCAUAGAAUGCUUCCAAUCUUUUGUGAAUUUUUUUUAUUAUAAGAAGAAUCUAUUUGUAUCUAUCCUAACCAGUUUGGGGAUAUAUUAAGAUAUUUUUGUACAUAAGAGAGAGAGAAAAAUUUAUAGAGUUUUGUACAAAUGGUUUAAAAUGUGUAUAUCUUGAUACUUUAACAUGUAAUGCUAUUACCUCUGCAUAUUUUAGAUGUGUAGUUCACCUGACAACUGCCAUGUUCCCUAUGUGGUUUUGUAAAGACCUGUCCUCAUAGGUGAGAUCAAAAGGCCACCAGACGUACUUCAGCACCAAUGUGUCUUACUUUAUAGAAACUUUGUUAAUGUAUUAAUGAUGUUAUUAAAUACUGUUCAAGAAGAACAAAGUUUAUGCAGCUACUGUCCAAACGCAAAGUGGCAGCCAGUUGGUUUUGAUGGGUUGCCUUUUGGGAAAUUUCUAUCACUGCCCCCCUUUUUUUCUUACUGUUUUAUUACAAACUUACAAAAAAAAAAACCCAUGUAUAACCCUGUUUUAUACAAACUAGUUUCGUAAUAAAACUUUUUUCUUUUUUU
This 1344-nucleotide long non-coding RNA is filed under the name Sus scrofa (pig). RNAcentral's name for it is "lncRNA (ENSSSCG00005040148.1)". Lineage: Eukaryota; Metazoa; Chordata; Mammalia; Artiodactyla; Suidae. The record is from RNAcentral.